This 460-nucleotide ribosomal RNA is filed under the name uncultured bacterium. RNAcentral's name for it is "partial 16S ribosomal RNA". It matches the Rfam family "Bacterial small subunit ribosomal RNA", at positions 338 to 795 of the family's 1533-position model. The record is from RNAcentral.
CCUACGGGAGGCAGCAGUGAGGAAUAUUGGUCAAUGGACGAGAGUCUGAACCAGCCAAGUAGCGUGAAGGAUGACUGCCCUAUGGGUUGUAAACUUCUUUUAUAAAGGAAUAAAACGAGGCACGUGUGCCUUUUUGCAUGUACCUUAUGAAUAAGGAUCGGCUAACUCCGUGCCAGCAGCCGCGGUAAUACGGAGGAUCCGAGCGUUAUCCGGAUUUAUUGGGUUUAAAGGGCGCGUAGAUGGGUUGUUAAGUCAGUGGUGAAAGUCUGCGGCUCAACCGUAAAAUUGCAAUUGAUACUGGCAGUCUUGAGUACAGUUGAGGUAGGCGGAAUUCGUGGUGUAGCGGUGAAAUGCUUAGAUAUCACGAAGAACCCCGAUUGCGAAGGCAGCUUACCAAACUGUGACUGACAUUGAUGCACGAAAGUGUGGGUAUCAAACAGGAUUAGAUACCCCUGUAGUC